GACGAACGCUGGCGGCGUGCUUAACACAUGCAAGUCGAGCGAAGAGCGAUGGACCCUUCCUUCUAUCAAUCUUAGUGGCGAACGGGUGAGUAACGCGUAAUCAACCUGCCCUUCAGAGGGGUACAACAGUUGGAAACGACUUCUAAUACCGCAUACUAUCUAAUCUCGGCAUCGAAUAUAGAUUAAAGGUGUCCUCUACAUGUAAGCUAUCAUUGAAGGCGAGUAUUGAGUCUGAUUAGCUAGUUGGAUGGUUAACCGCCCACCAAGGCGAUGAUCAGUAGUCGGUCUGAGAGGAGGAACGGCCACAUUGGGACUUAGACACCGCCCAGACUUCCAAGGGAGGCAGCAGUGGGGAAUCUUCCGCCAUGGGCGAAAGUCUGACGGAGCAACGCCGCGUGAGUGAUGCCGGCCGUCGGGUUGUAAAGCUCUGUUAAUCGGGGAGAAACGCCUUCUUGCGAAUAGUGAGAAGGAUUGACGGUACCGGAAUAGAAAGCCACGGCUAACUACGUG
RNAcentral lists this ribosomal RNA (510 nucleotides) under uncultured bacterium. Its description in RNAcentral is "partial 16S ribosomal RNA". It matches the Rfam family "Bacterial small subunit ribosomal RNA", at positions 28 to 507 of the family's 1533-position model. The record is from RNAcentral.